AACCCUAAAAAUGGGGUUUCUCACCACUCAUCCACUCGUUGCAACUCACAUCCUUGCCGCUGCAAGAAAUGUCGUUGUUGUUGCCUUCAGCAAGUUUUCGAUCCAAUUCUCCAUCUGGCCUCAAUCUGAAGGUUUGUCGCUGCCGCUUAUUUCACUGCCAUUGUUCAUCUCCUCGUCGUCACUCAUCCCCUCACCAUAUCAAGCAACAUCGUGUCGCUACCUUCAAUGAGGUUCUGGCUUCGAUCUGAAGGUUAGUCACCGUCACUCAUUCCGUUGCCGCCUUUAUUUUUCACCUCGCCGCCGCAAGCAAUGCUGCUGUUACUGCCUUUAGCGAGCCUCUGUGAUUUUGUUUCACCUUCAUCUUCUUUUGAUUUUUCCUUCCUCUUCAUAAUUUUAGAUCUAGUUCAUGAUCUAGUAGGAAGAAACAGAGAAUGCUUAUUUUUUCUCUUUUAUUUUUAGUUUGAUUGAUCUUCUGCAUUGUUGUUGUUGUUGUUGUUGAUGAGGGUGCCAGAGGUGGUGGAAUUUUACUACACGUUGAUGAGGAGAGAACCAUAGCAACUAUCUCGAUGCAAAUAUAGCUGAAACGGAAUCCUAGAGGCCGUGCUGGCUCUAGCAAAUGCAUGUGACAUGAUCGAUGAGAUUGAGAACCACUCUUUUCACUUGCUCGCGACUGCUCAUAUUUGAUAACAUAGAGAAUGGAAGCUUAAAAGAGCAUCUCAAUGAUCCCUUGAAUACUCCUUUAAAUUGGAGGAUGAGGUUGCAGAUUGCUAAUGAAGUUGUAGCAGCACUGGUAAGCUCUUCAAACAAAAGCUUGUCAAAGAACUAAAUUUGCCUAAUGUGUUUUGACUUGAAACUGCACUCUUCUUAUCAUAUUUUUCUAAUGCAAGUAAUUUGAGGACUAUGAAAAGUUAAUGUCUCAUUGAGUUUAUGAAUUGCUAUUGGAUGCGUGACAUCCUUGCUAAGCUGUAACUGUUUAGCAUUUUUCAUUCUUGGCAUUUAUGAUAAAAUAAAUAUUAGAAACUAUGGUACUAUGGUACCUUGGUUUCAUGGA
Molecule: non-coding RNA, 1051 nt
Organism: Arachis ipaensis
Lineage: Eukaryota; Viridiplantae; Streptophyta; Magnoliopsida; Fabales; Fabaceae
Source: RefSeq, a predicted model, not a curated record